UACGUAGGGGGCAAGCGUUGUCCGGAAUCAUUGGGCGUAAAGAGCGUGUAGGCGGCCUGGUAAGUCCGCUGUGAAAGUCCAGGGCUCAACCCUGGAAUGCCGGUGGAAACUGUCAGGCUCGAGUCCGGAAGAGGCGAGUGGAAUUCCUGGUGUAGCGGUGAAAUGCGUAGAGAUCCGGAGGAACACCGGUGGCGAAGGCGGCUUCCUGGACCGACACUGACGCUGAGGCGCGAAAGCUAGGGGAGCAAACGGG
This 253-nucleotide ribosomal RNA is filed under the name uncultured bacterium. RNAcentral describes it as "partial 16S ribosomal RNA". It matches the Rfam family "Bacterial small subunit ribosomal RNA", at positions 524 to 776 of the family's 1533-position model. The record is from RNAcentral.